AGUGAACGCNGGCGGCGUGCCUAAUACAUGCAAGUCGAACGGACAAGUAAGAGCUUGCUCUUAUGAGUUAGUGGCGCACGGGUGAGUAAUGUAUAGCUAAUCUGCCCUACACUAGAGGACAACAGUUGGAAACGGCUGCUAAUACUCUAUACACCUCUCUAGCAUAAGUUAGAUAGGGAAAGUUUUUCGGUGUAGGAUGAGGCUAUAUUGUAUCAGCUAGUUGGUGAGGUAAUGGCUCACCAAGGCUAUGACGCAUAACUGGUCUGAGAGGAUGAUCAGUCACACUGGAACUGAGACACGGUCCAGACUCCUACGGGAGGCAGCAGUAGGGAAUAUUGCUCAAUGGGGGAAACCCUGAAGCAGCAACGCCGCGUGGAGGAUGACACUUUUCGGAGCGUAAACUCCUUUUGUUAGGGAAGAAUAA
Molecule: ribosomal RNA, 424 nt
Filed under: uncultured bacterium
Lineage: Bacteria
Description: bacterial SSU rRNA
Rfam family: Bacterial small subunit ribosomal RNA
Source: RNAcentral